Molecule: small nucleolar RNA, 90 nt
Filed under: Ananas comosus (pineapple)
Lineage: Eukaryota; Viridiplantae; Streptophyta; Magnoliopsida; Poales; Bromeliaceae
Description: Small nucleolar RNA Z155
Rfam family: Small nucleolar RNA Z155
About the family: Z155 is a member of the C/D class of snoRNA which contain the C (UGAUGA) and D (CUGA) box motifs. Most of the members of the box C/D family function in directing site-specific 2'-O-methylation of substrate RNAs.
Source: Rfam by way of RNAcentral
CGUUGAUAUGAUGAUAAAGUUUCUCGGAAAUUUUUUCUAAAGAAUUAAUGUGUCGACAUGAAAAAUCAGACUACAAUUAUCUGAUCAACG